GAUGAACGCUGGCGGCGUGCCUAAUACAUGCAAGUCGAGCGAACAGUCGAGGAGCUUGCUCCUCUGACGUUAGCGGCGGACGGGUGAGUAACACGUGGAUAACCUACCUAUAAGACUGGGAUAACUUCGGGAAACCGGAGCUAAUACCGGAUAAUAUAUUGAACCGCAUGGUUCAAUAGUGAAAGACGGUUUUGCUGUCACUUAUAGAUGGAUCCGCGCCGCAUUAGCUAGUUGGUAAGGUAACGGCUUACCAAGGCAACGAUGCGUAGCCGACCUGAGAGGGUGAUCGGCCACACUGGAACUGAGACACGGUCCAGACUCCUACGGGAGGCAGCAGUAGGGAAUCUUCCGCAAUGGGCGAAAGCCUGACGGAGCAACGCCGCGUGAGUGAUGAAGGUCUUCGGAUCGUAAAACUCUGUUAUUAGGGAAGAACAAAUGUGUAAGUAACGAUGCACGUCUUGACGGUACCUAAUCAGAAAGCCACGGCUAACUACGU
This 496-nucleotide ribosomal RNA is filed under the name uncultured bacterium. RNAcentral describes it as "partial 16S ribosomal RNA". It matches the Rfam family "Bacterial small subunit ribosomal RNA", at positions 28 to 506 of the family's 1533-position model. The record is from RNAcentral.